Molecule: long non-coding RNA, 2712 nt
Filed under: Nicotiana benthamiana
Lineage: Eukaryota; Viridiplantae; Streptophyta; Magnoliopsida; Solanales; Solanaceae
Description: long non-coding RNA (NBEN_LNC007785)
Source: RNAcentral
AAUAAGAAUACUCCUCUCUCUACUUCUCUCUAUAUUGUUCUUGUAUUAUUGUUCUUGUUCUUAUAUUAUUUCAUAACAACUAUACUAUUAUAAAUUUCAAUGCAGAAAAGAAAAUUUGGAGUUUAUGUUAAAGUUUAAAGAAGCAAACCUAUAGUUACAGUAAAGCCAUAGGCCUUAAACCCAGAUCCAAGCUGCCUGGGUCCAAAUUUGCUCAGAUAAUUCCCAGAUUAGGCCUAGUUACAAGUCUGGCCCAUUUCAUAUAGCCUUCAUUCGGGCCAUUCUGAUAAAAGAGGGCCAUUGAGUCAGUUUUUAACCAAAGCAAUCAAUUGAAAAGAGAAAUAUUACAAUAUACUUUAUACCAAUUCUAUACAGAAAAUCAGUUCAUUGGCAACAGUCCCUGGGUUAAAACACAUUCAGAUGUGUGACUACUUGUUUCUUUAAUAAAAUAAAAUAAAAAUUGUUAUCUCCAUUGUACACUUAUAUGAUUUUGGGCUCUUUCACUUCCCACCGGCUUUCAAAAAGGGCCUUUGAAUUUCAAGGACAACCAUAGAGCUUCUCUACAAAUCAACAUCUUUUAGUCCGAACCAAUAGAUCUCAAAUUUUUCUCUUUCUUGUUAUAACUUCCACAUACAAAUAAAAAAAAUAAGCAAUUUUUUGUGAAAAGUAGUUUAUUAGCAUCACAUAUUCGAAAGAAUAAAGAGUAGACAGUAGGCAACACCAAUCUGAAGGAAUCAUAUUUUCCAUAAUUCAUGAUGCAAAGCUAGGUAUAACUCGAAUAGAAAUAGCAAAGACCAUAACGUAGGACAAACCUUGAAAGCUAAACAUGAUGGCAUACAAAUCAACCCAUAUAGCCUUCUAAAAAUAUUCAAUAACUAAAGAGACAAAACUUUAUAACAUUAUGGACAAACAUAAACACAUGGGGGACAUUGAUCAACUCAGAAACACAAGAUAUAGCUUUCAGAGAUAGUUUCAAAGAGGAAAAACUUUAUAAAAGACAUAAUUCAACAAAACACCAAUUCACAUUUCUUAAUAACAACAUUCUAUGAAGAAGGUGAAGUUCAGUACCUUGCACAACAGCAACAAAAACAACAACUAAAAUGUGCAAAAAACUUGCUGAAACCUUAAACAAAAAUGGAGCAGCAAUAGGACAUGAGUAACAGCAGCCACAAAUAUCAAAAUUUCAGACCCAAGACCAGCCACUUGAACCCAGAAAUAACCAACUAACUAAACCACGAAAAAUCUCUAUUUUUCAAACCAUUUUCAACUGGAGAACCAAAGGAGAAAAAGUCUUUUUUUAAAAUCUUUUUGAGGUUUUCUAAAGUCUGAAAAGGACAUUUUUUGAAGAAAAAUAAUGUUUAUGAGUGCUGAUGAUUGCUCAAGAAUUUUUAAUUGUGUGAGGGAAGGUUUUCUUUUAUAUAGUGUACAAAAAAAAUAUCCAAAAGGAAUAUUCUGGCCUAGUACAUCAUAUUUUUAUAGUUGUACUAUCCUUUUUCCUUAUCCAAAACCAAUAUUUUUCAAGGAUAAGGAUAGUUGUGUUGUGUUCUACAACUUUCCUAAUUCUAUCCAAUGUGUAACCCUAAUUUUACCCUUUGAAAUCCUGCCUAUUUUAUUUUUACCUCAAAGAAGUCCCUAAAGUUUCUAUUGGCUUUCGAUAUAAUUCAAACACAAUUAGAAUAAGUUGAAAGAUGCAAAAUGCUAACAGAAUGAUAGUUAAAUAGAGCUAAUGCAAUGCUACACUAAACUCAAACUAAUUAUUGAUAACAAUGUUGUUCUAUCUAUCUAACUAUGAUACUUUAAUCAACUAAACUGAAAUAUGGCAUCUCUAUUUAUUCAAGCUAAACCAAGGUGGUGAAGUCAAUAAUGCUAAAAAUCAAUCAGCUAACUGACGUUUCUAAGGUAAAAAUCCAUAAAGUUCAGAAGUAAACUCAGCCUGUCAAUUUCAAAUACUAAAAAUACACAUUUGGCUAAUCACAAUAUUUUUAAGAACUAGUUUAAAAGUCUGAAAUUCUACAUUAGUCAAAUUAAUUGACAAUUAACUACAAGUUAAAACUAAUUGACAGAAGAAAAUAGAAGAAGAAAAGAAAUUAAAACAAAUAAAAGAAAACAUAAUUGCUGGCUACAUGAAAGAGAAAACAAAUAUGAGGCAGACAUUAAGAAUAAAGAAAAAAAAUAGAAAAAGAAAAAAGAGAAAAAGAAAAUACCUGAGGCAGCCGGUUAAUGGAACUUCUUGCAAGCACACUCAUGAACUUUAUACGGCUAUUAACUGGAUGUUCUUAAUACGAACAACCAACUAAUGGUCGUCUUGGGUUCAUAAACUUCAUGCACUGACAAAGAAAGAACUAGGGUUUUUUUUCCUUCUAAAUCAUAGAUUGCAAAUUUAAGGAAAUUUAGGUUGAUUCAAAAGGGAAUGUGGGCAUAUUCGGGGAGAGAAGGCGAAGGUGAUUAUAUGCUGUAGUUUCUGGUGAAUUUGUGGAGAUUAGGUUCUUUGCCAAAUUUUUUAUUUAAGAUUCGAAAAUAUUGGCAAUGACUCAAGGAAAAUAGUUGAAGAUUUGAGGAGGCUAUGGGGAUUUUGUGGUGAAAAUUUGGUCGAUUUUCUCUGGGUGGUUGAUGGCGGGUGGUUGACGGCAGAGGCAGCGGGGAAAUUAGGGCGGCUAGGGUUCGCUAGAUUAGAGACGAGGGAGAUUAAGAAUGAGGAGUAGACUUAAGGUUUUG